CCUGUUUAAGUAGGAAGCUUAAGAAAAUCACAGAAUCAGAGAAUAUCCCGAGUUGGCAGGGACCAACAAGGAUCAUUGAGUCUAACUCCUGGCUCCGCGUGGGGCUACCCAAAAAUCAGUCUGAGAGCAUUGUCCAGUGGUGUAACACUGGCAAGCUCAGUGUCCUUUUCCUUUUAGGCUAGAUCAUAAAAAAGGCUAUUCUGCAGUAUUUUACAAUGGGGAGAAGAAGAAAAAAAAGAAGAGAACAGAGAAGGCUUGGAGCAUCUUGGAUUACUUUGGUGACUUGCUCAGCUCCUGAACCCAGGACGCUCACCACCUGAAGUGUUGGAGAACUGGGAAAAUUGUCUGUUCCAGAAGCUGGUGCUCACAUAAAAGCAGGCAACAGAAAACUAGUGAGGUUUCGGUUAACUUGGUAACAGGAGCGGUACUGCAAUGAGUUGGUGUCUUUAACUGGAAGUCUUGGGAUGAGCUCACUCGUGCUAGUACUGCUGAGCAAUACCACGUUUUCUCCCCGUCCACCCGGAGGUGUCUGUUGCUGUUUACCUUAGGCUGCCUUCCCCAGAAGCUGUGUUUUCUGCAGCGGGGGCUGUGUUUACAGCACCUAACACACAAUCAUUUUUGUGGCUGAGGCCCUCAGACAGAAGGGUAGCAGAGUACAAACAGCCCUCAAACAGAAAGGUAGCGCUGGGAGACGUGACUGCAGGGGUUAGCACGCACGGCUGGGGGACAGCUGGCGUGCAGGAGAGCUGCUGACCUUCCUCCUGUCCUCCUCGGUCAGGGCUCCUGCUUCAACCAGUUGCUUCCACGUGGAGCUGGGCACUGGAAAGAAAGUCCAGGGUGGUAGGGGUGGAAGGAGGAUCUGAUGGCUUAGACAAAAUAAAUGGAAACUUUUUUUUUUUCCUUCCCCAAAAGAAUGUUUUGCUUGCCAGUGGGAGGCUGCAAACAGGGUAGUCAUCCAAGAGGGUAAUGGAAUAUUUCCCUGACCCUCAAAACAAUAUUAAGAGGGACAGAUGAAAUCUAAAAGGUAAACACAUUCAGCUGAGGCUAGCUGAAUUUCCUGGUUACUAUGCUGAAAAAGUUAACGAUGAAACACUGCCAGUUGUUUCGGCAGGUAAAAGGAAGUAAUGGUGCAGGUCUGUAUCUAAAACAAAAUAAAUAAAGUUUACCUAAGAGGUCUUGUCCCCGUAGCUGUCAAAAAUAUAGCUCCUGCCAUUGUUAGCAAUGUAAAUCAGCGGUUCAGGAGGGCUGCAUGAGUACAAACAAAAGGAUAAGCUUGCCAUGUCACUUGUUCCUGUAAAGCUCUUCUGCAGGUUUCUUUGAUAACACCUAUCUCCUCGUAGCAGGUGUGUGAGGGACCCAGGAAGGGAGAGGUAGCAUGGGCUGGAGCCUACGUAGCUGUGCUGAUACGCGUAUGGAGAUGUCGCUUCCAAGCGUAUUCCUUUGUAAGCGAGGUCAAAAUAUAGCGUGAUGUGCGAGAUAUAUAAUGAGUGAGAGGAAGAAAGACAUGCUAACUGGGUUGGAAGAUAACAUUUUGUCUUCUGAAUGGGUUCUUGUUAUUGCCACCGAUUGUUACUUUCAGAAAAAAAAUUAUGUUGAAAUUAUUCUUUUCUCUCUAUUGUUUAGCUCUUGUUCUCAGCUUUGUUAUGGCCACAAAGAGAUGAUAAAAAUGGAUUGGCACAAAGUUGGGUUUCGUGUAUCAUUUAGAGACAGGUUUAGAGUUAUGUUUUCAGCCCUUAGCACUUUGAUAGGGUCUGUUCUUCAUUUUGAAAAUAGCAAUAAAAGAGUAAAGAACAUAAGAAAACACAAUUUUUUUUUAAUGAAAUUGUCAGUGCUGGUUUGAACUUUGUCUCUGAUCUGUAUGAAGUCUCUGAACUGUGCAGUUGGAAGAAAGCAGAUAGAAAAGAGAGAGAAAAUGUCCAUGUUCCUGGCUACUUUAGACGGUAAUAAAAAGCCCCCAAAGUGUUACUUGUUUUUAAUCUGUAUAUUUAUGUCUAUAUAAAUCCACUGAGAAUAAACUUUAAACGUUUGUUA
Non-coding RNA from Anas platyrhynchos (mallard), 2031 nucleotides. NCBI's taxonomy places the organism in Eukaryota, Metazoa, Chordata, Aves, Anseriformes, Anatidae. The record is from RefSeq and is a predicted model, not a curated record.